RNAcentral lists this ribosomal RNA (434 nucleotides) under uncultured bacterium. RNAcentral's name for it is "partial 16S ribosomal RNA". It matches the Rfam family "Bacterial small subunit ribosomal RNA", at positions 29 to 507 of the family's 1533-position model. The record is from RNAcentral.
AGCGAACGCUGGCGGCAGGCCUAACACAUGCAAGUCGAACGAACCUUUCGGGGUUAGUGGCGGACGGGUGAGUAACACGUGGGAACGUUCCUUUAGGUUCGGAAUAACUCAGGGAAACUUGUGCUAAUACCGAAUGUGCCCUUCGGGGGAAAGAUUUAUCGCCUUUAGAGCGGCCCGCGUCUGAUUAGCUAGUUGGUUGAGGUAAUGGCGCACCAAGGCGACGAUCAGUAGCUGGUCUGAGAGGAUGAUCAGCCACAUUGGGACUGAGACACGGCCCAAACUCCUACGGGAGGCAGCAGUGGGGAAUCUUGCGCAAUGGGCGAAAGCCUGACGCAGCCAUGCCGCGUGAAUGAUGAAGGUCUUAGGAUUGUAAAAUUCUUUCACCGGGGACGAUAAUGACGGUACCCGGAGAAGAAGCCCCGGCUAACUUCGUG